RNAcentral lists this ribosomal RNA (253 nucleotides) under uncultured bacterium. RNAcentral describes it as "partial 16S ribosomal RNA". It matches the Rfam family "Bacterial small subunit ribosomal RNA", at positions 524 to 776 of the family's 1533-position model. The record is from RNAcentral.
UACGAAGGGAGCUAGCGUUGUUCGGAAUUACUGGGCGUAAAGGGCGCGUAGGCGGCUUGGCAAGUUGGAUGUGAAAGCCCAGGGCUCAACCCUGGAAUUGCAUUCAAGACUGCCUUGCUUGAAUUCGGUAGAGGUUGGUGGAAUUCCCAGUGUAGAGGUGAAAUUCGUAGAGAUUGGGAAGAACACCCGUGGCGAAGACGGCCAACUGGACCGACAUUGACGCUGAGGCGCGAAAGCGUGGGGAGCAAACAGG